GAUGAACGCUGGCGGCGUGCCUAAUACAUGCAAGUAGAACGCUGAAGGAAGGAGCUUGCUCUUUCCGGAUGAGUUGCGAACGGGUGAGUAACGCGUAGGUAACCUGCCUGGUAGCGGGGGAUAACUAUUGGAAACGAUAGCUAAUACCGCAUAACAGUAGAUGUUGCAUGAUAUCUACUUAAAAGGUGCAAUUGCACCACUACCAGAUGGACCUGCGUUGUAUUAGCUAGUUGGUGAGGUAACGGCUCACCAAGGCGACGAUACAUAGCCGACCUGAGAGGGUGAUCGGCCACACUGGGACUGAGACACGGCCCAGACUCCUACGGGAGGCAGCAGUAGGGAAUCUUCGGCAAUGGACGGAAGUCUGACCGAGCAACGCCGCGUGAGUGAAGAAGGUUGUCGGAUCGUAAAGCUCUGUUGUAAGAGGAGAACGAGUGUGGGAGUGGAAAGUUCACACUGUGACGGUAUCUUACCAGAAAGGGGCGGCUAACUACGUG
Molecule: ribosomal RNA, 497 nt
Filed under: uncultured bacterium
Lineage: Bacteria
Description: partial 16S ribosomal RNA
Rfam family: Bacterial small subunit ribosomal RNA
Source: RNAcentral